AGACCCGAAACCCGGUGAUCUAGCCAUGGGCAGGUUGAAGGUUGGGUAACACUAACUGGAGGACCGAACCGACUAAUGUUGAAAAAUUAGCGGAUGACCUGUGGCUGGGGGUGAAAGGCCAAUCAAACCGGGAGAUAGCUGGUUCUCCCCGAAAGCUAUUUAGGUAGCGCCUCGUGAAUUCAUCUCCGGGGGUAGAGCACUGUUUCGGCUAGGGGGCCAUCCCGGCUUACCAACCCGAUGCAAACUGCGAAUACCGGAGAAUGUUAUCACGGGAGACACACGGCGGGUGCUAACGUCCGUCGUGAAGAGGGAAACAACCCAGACCGCCAGCUAAGGUCCCAAAGUCAUGGUUAAGUGGGAAACGAUGUGGGAAGGCCCAGACAGCCAGGAUGUUGGCUUAGAAGCAGCCAUCAUUUAAAGAAAGCGUAAUAGCUCACUGGUCGAGUCGGCCUGCGCGGAAGAUGUAACGGGGCUAAACCAUGCACCGAAGCUGCGGCAGCGAACGUAUCACCCAAGACAACUUUACGGAGUUGACGAUUGACGGAGCGAAGCGACGUCAAAGCGUUCAUUAAAGUCGAGUUGGCUUAGGGAUACGUUCGUUGGGUAGGGGAGCGUUCUGUAAGCCUGUGAAGGUGUGUCGUGAGGCAUGCUGGAGGUAUCAGAAGUGCGAAUGCUGACAUAAGUAACGAUAAAGCGGGUGAAAAGCCCGCUCGCCGGAAGACCAAGGGUUCCUGUCCAACGUUAAUCGGGGCAGGGUGAGUCGACCCCUAAGGCGAGGCCGAAAGGCGUAGUCGAUGGGAAACGGGUUAAUAUUCCCGUACUUGGUGUUACUGCGAAGGGGGGACGGAGAAGGCUAUGUUGGCCGGGCGACGGUUGUCCCGGUUUAAGCGUGUAGGUGUGUGUUCCAGGUAAAUCCGGUUCACUUUAACACUGAGGCGUGACGACGAGGCACUACGGUGCUGAAGCAACAAAUGCCCUGCUUCCAGGAAAAGCCUCUAAGCAUCAGGUAACACGAAAUCGUACCCCAAACCGACACAGG
Molecule: ribosomal RNA, 1039 nt
Filed under: Salmonella enterica
Lineage: Bacteria; Pseudomonadati; Pseudomonadota; Gammaproteobacteria; Enterobacterales; Enterobacteriaceae
Also listed under: 1 other name
Description: partial 23S ribosomal RNA
Rfam family: Bacterial large subunit ribosomal RNA
Source: RNAcentral